This 1225-nucleotide ribosomal RNA is filed under the name Bavariicoccus seileri. RNAcentral describes it as "bacterial SSU rRNA". It matches the Rfam family "Bacterial small subunit ribosomal RNA", at positions 302 to 1520 of the family's 1533-position model. RNAcentral also lists the same sequence under 1 other name. Lineage: Bacteria; Bacillati; Bacillota; Bacilli; Lactobacillales; Enterococcaceae. The record is from RNAcentral.
GAUCGGCCACAUUGGGACUGAGACACGGCCCAAACUCCUACGGGAGGCAGCAGUAGGGAAUCUUCCGCAAUGGACGAAAGUCUGACGGAGCAACGCCGCGUGAGUGAAGAAGGUUUUCGGAUCGUAAAACUCUGUUGUUAGAGAAGAACAUGUCUGAGAGUAACUGUUCAGGCAAUGACGGUAUCUAACCAGAAAGCCACGGCUAACUACGUGCCAGCAGCCGCGGUAAUACGUAGGUGGCAAGCGUUGUCCGGAUUUAUUGGGCGUAAAGCGAGCGCAGGCGGUUUCUUAAGUCUGAUGUGAAAGCCCACGGCUUAACCGUGGAGGGUCAUUGGAAACUGGGAAACUUGAGUGCAGAAGAGGAGAGUGGAAUUCCAUGUGUAGCGGUGAAAUGCGUAGAUAUAUGGAGGAACACCAGUGGCGAAGGCGACUCUCUGGUCUGUAACUGACGCUGAGGCUCGAAAGCGUGGGUAGCAAACAGGAUUAGAUACCCUGGUAGUCCACGCCGUAAACGAUGAGUGCUAAGUGUUGGAGGGUUUCCGCCCUUCAGUGCUGCAGUUAACGCAUUAAGCACUCCGCCUGGGGAGUACGACCGCAAGGUUGAAACUCAAAGGAAUUGACGGGGACCCGCACAAGCGGUGGAGCAUGUGGUUUAAUUCGAAGCAACGCGAAGAACCUUACCAAGUCUUGACAUCCUUUGACCACUCUAGAGAUAGAGCUUCCCCUUCGGGGGCAAAGUGACAGGUGGUGCAUGGUUGUCGUCAGCUCGUGUCGUGAGAUGUUGGGUUAAGUCCCGCAACGAGCGCAACCCUUAUCAUUAGUUGCCAGCAUUUAGUUGGGCACUCUAGUGAUACUGCCGGUGACAAACCGGAGGAAGGUGGGGAUGACGUCAAAUCAGCAUGCCCCUUAUGACUUGGGCUACACACGUGCUACAAUGGAUGGUACAACGAGCAGCGAACUCGCGAGAGUCAGCGAAUCUCUAAAAGCCAUUCUCAGUUCGGAUUGCAGGCUGCAACUCGCCUGCAUGAAGCCGGAAUCGCUAGUAAUCGCGGAUCAGCACGCCGCGGUGAAUCCGUUCCCGGGUCUUGUACACACCGCCCGUCACACCACGAGAGUUUGUAACACCCAAAGUCGGUGAGGUAACCAUUCGGAGCCAGCCGCCUAAGGUGGGACAGAUGAUUGGGGUGAAGUCGUAACAAGGUAGCCGUAUCGGAAGGUGCGGCUG